RNAcentral lists this ribosomal RNA (370 nucleotides) under uncultured bacterium. Its description in RNAcentral is "bacterial SSU rRNA". It matches the Rfam family "Bacterial small subunit ribosomal RNA", at positions 569 to 937 of the family's 1533-position model. The record is from RNAcentral.
GCGUAGGUGGUUUGUUAAGUCUGAUGUGAAAGCCCUGGGCUCAACCUGGGAAUUGCAUUGGAUACUGGCAGGCUAGAGUGCGGUAGAGGAUGGGGGAAUUCCCGGUGUAGCAGUGAAAUGCGUAGAGAUCGGGAGGAACAUCUGUGGCGAAGGCGGCCAUCUGGACCAGCACUGACACUGAGGCACGAAAGCGUGGGGAGCAAACAGGAUUAGAUACCCUGGUAGUCCACGCCCUAAACGAUGCGAACUGGAUGUUGGGAGCAACUAGGCUCUCAGUAUCGAAGCUAACGCGUUAAGUUCGCCGCCUGGGGAGUACGGUCGCAAGACUGAAACUCAAAGGAAUUGACGGGGGCCCGCACAAGCGGUGGAG